Molecule: long non-coding RNA, 368 nt
Organism: Colius striatus (speckled mousebird)
Lineage: Eukaryota; Metazoa; Chordata; Aves; Coliiformes; Coliidae
Exons: 2
Source: RefSeq, a predicted model, not a curated record
UUCCCAUGACUUCCUCCUGUUACAGACUUUUACAGAUAUAAAUUAGCUUCAUUCCCCCACUCCAUGUAAAGGCUGCCCGGCUAGUGGACUUCCAAAUCUACAUACUGCCAACAUCUUAUAUGGCUGACUGCCAGAAGGGAAAGGAUGGACAUGGCUAAGGGAUAUAGAGCUUCCCUCUUAGCAUCAACAGUAGUGUGGACCACUAUGCCAUGGCAGAACCAUUCUCUGCUGAGGAUGAAGUCCUUCUAAAAAUACCUAUGCUAACUUGAUAACUAUCGUUGUCCUUUUUUACUUGACAUAUAUUUGACUAUCUGUCAGUGAUUAGAGGUUGUAUUAAAGAAAUAAACAACAGGAUUAUAGGAUCCUCA